Molecule: long non-coding RNA, 789 nt
Filed under: Mytilus galloprovincialis (Mediterranean mussel)
Lineage: Eukaryota; Metazoa; Mollusca; Bivalvia; Mytilida; Mytilidae
Source: RNAcentral
UGCGGUAUGGGCUUUGCUCAUUGUUGAGGCCGUACGUGGAGUUGUUAGUUUCUGGGUCAUUUUUUUCUCUUAUAGAGAGUUGGCAAUCAAACAACAUAGUCUUUUUUUUCAAUAGCUACACUAAAUUUCAAAACAUAUAAUUAACUCAAUUAAAAAAAACAUACAAGACUAACAAAGGCAAGAGUCUCCUGACUUUAGACAGGCGCAAAAUUCGGCGGUUCUAAAUAUGUUUUGUGAGAUCUCAACACUCCCCCUAUUCCUCUAGCCAAUGUAGAAUAAAUAAAUCCAUAGCAAUACCGAAUAAAAAAGUUUAAAAGAAGUCCGAGUCCGAUGUUAGAAUAAUUAAAACAAAAAACUGAUAAUGAUACACAAAUUAACAAAGACUACUAGCAGUUACUGACAUACCAGUUCCAGUACACAAUUAAAAUGAUUGAAAGAUUAUGUUUCAUCAUAUGAAAAUCAAGUAAAUUCCUCCCGUUAGGAGUUAAGUAUUAUACUAGCAUAAAAUAUAUGAAAAGAACAUAACCCGUAUCAUAAUCAACAACUGGUUUUAGAAUGAAUGUGUUAAUUACCGAUGCAAAAACCCUAUCAGUGAAUCAAUAUUAAUACUUAUGCAACCCUUAAUGACCUGAAAACAGUAUCGUUACUAUAUCCUUUCCGAAUACGUCUGUGAAAAUUUCUGAACUCUUAAUACGUGGCAUCAUAGUGUAAAAGCAAAGACUGGUCGGCACAGAGCCGGAAAUGUGUCCAGGUCUAGUGACGUUUCUUCAUGCGAACUAGUACAUUGUA